This 500-nucleotide ribosomal RNA is filed under the name uncultured bacterium. Its description in RNAcentral is "partial 16S ribosomal RNA". It matches the Rfam family "Bacterial small subunit ribosomal RNA", at positions 30 to 523 of the family's 1533-position model. The record is from RNAcentral.
AUUGAACGCUGGCGGCAUGCCUUACACAUGCAAGUCGAACGGCAGCACGGGAGCAAUCCUGGUGGCGAGUGGCGAACGGGUGAGUAAUAUAACGGAACGUGCCCAGUCGUGGGGGAUAACGUAGCGAAAGCUACGCUAAUACCGCAUACGAUCUAUGGAUGAAAGCGGGGGAUCGCAAGACCUCGCGCGAUUGGAGAGGCCGAUAUCGGAUUAGGUAGUUGGUGAGGUAAAGGCUCACCAAGCCGACGAUCUGUCGCUGUUCUGAGAGGACGACCAGCCACGCUGGGACUGAGACGCGGCCCAGACUCCUACGGGAGGCAGCAGAGGGGAAUUUUGGACAAUGGGCGCAAGCCUGAUCCAGCAAUGCCGCGUGCAGGAUGAAGGCCUUCGGGUUGUAAACUGCUUUUGUACGGAACGAAACGGCGAGCUCUAAUACAGUUUGCCAAUGACGGUACCGUAAGAAUAAGCACCGGCUAACUACGUGCCAGCCGCCGCGGUAA